Molecule: microRNA, 18 nt
Filed under: Corchorus olitorius
Lineage: Eukaryota; Viridiplantae; Streptophyta; Magnoliopsida; Malvales; Malvaceae
Description: hsa-miR-44
Source: RNAcentral
AGGAGUACUAAAGUAGAA